CGCUGCAACCACCUGCUUGCUCCGCGCCCCGGCCCGGAUCGAUACCAAAUAUCUGGAGCCCGGAAAUGGACCCGGGCGGUCCAGUACGGUGGGAGAGAGGAGACAGAAAGGCGGACAGGCGGGCGAACGGCAGGGCCCUGGUGGGAUGGGGUGGGGUAGGGAGGGGAGCGGCAGGUCUGUAACCGCAGUCGCUAGUAGCCGCGAGCACAGCUCUGCUCCGCCUGCUGUUGUCUCCUUUGUACUCCGGGAAGCACCAGGGGCUUGGCCCAGGCUGCACAACCUCCCCUAGGGCCCGGCCUCCCUCCCGCCCUAGGGGAGUGAGAUAGGGGCUUUGUGUCCCACAGCCCUAGACCGGAAGGCCACAGGGGUCACCAGAGGAUAAUUGUUCCGGUCCGCCGUAACAUUCUCAUGAUUAUUAUGUACACAUCUUGGAACAUAUCAGUAAGCUUAACAGAUUUUGGGCCUCCAUCAACCCAAAGCUAAGAAUGUUAUAACAUCUGAAACCUGUAGAAGAAACUUCUUUCUCUUGCUAUAGCCUGCUUACCUGAUGCUCCGGCCAAUGUAAUUGUCUACCACAAGCGAAGAGGUAAGAAGUGGUCUGACUGUUCCUUUGCUCUGUGACAGCCAGAAGGGAACAUGAUUCAACCGACAGGUGUGCUACCUUUCUCCCUUGCUUCCUUUCCCUCACCCUUGAUCCCUGGAGCAAGUUGGGCUGGAGUCAGUUGUCUUUCCACUACCCGGGGUUACAUCACAACAUAUCUCAGACUGCUCUGACAUGAGGCACAGCUAACCUGGCAGGAAUCGAACUCAGGACCUCGUGAUUGCCAGGCAGGAGAGCUCCUUUUACAAGAAGAGAUUUGGGGCUGGAUACCUGGCCCUGUCAGAGAUGACCACAAGGAGCUGUUUCCUGGGAGACUCUGUGUGCAUAACAAGCCAGCCCUUGUUUGCUGUAUACCUGCUUCCUUCAGCCUUCCACAGUUUGCAACAACUCCUUCACCCUUAAAUGUCCAAGCUCCAAUCCCUCGGUUUCUUUCUAUACAAGUGUCAAGCAUUUAAGGAGCUUUUGUGUCUCAUACUGUGUACAUGCAGCUUCCACAUUUAGGCAUAUCAGUCCAUUUGUUGUUCUUUUUUUUCUCCUGCCAGUUUGUUUAUAGACUAAAGUUGUUAAAAAUUCAGAAAAGAAUAAAUUUAAAAUUG
Molecule: RNA transcript, 1197 nt
Organism: Chinchilla lanigera (long-tailed chinchilla)
Lineage: Eukaryota; Metazoa; Chordata; Mammalia; Rodentia; Chinchillidae
Gene: Uts2b
Gene name: urotensin 2B
Exons: 5
Source: RefSeq, a predicted model, not a curated record